RNAcentral lists this ribosomal RNA (254 nucleotides) under uncultured bacterium. RNAcentral describes it as "partial 16S ribosomal RNA". It matches the Rfam family "Bacterial small subunit ribosomal RNA", at positions 524 to 776 of the family's 1533-position model. The record is from RNAcentral.
UACAGAGGGUGCGAGCGUUAAUCGGAAUGACUGGGCGUAAAGGGCGCGUAGGCGGCUCGUGAAGUCGGGUGUGAAAGCCCGGGGCUCAACCCCGGAACGGCAUCCGAUACUGGCGGGCUUGAGACCGGGAGAGGAGGGUGGAAUACCCAGUGUAGAGGUGGAAAUUCGUAGAUAUUGGGUGGAACACCGGUGGCGAAAGCGGCUCUCUGGCCCGGAUCUGACGCUGAGGCGCGAAAGCGUGGGGAGCAAACAGG